This 496-nucleotide ribosomal RNA is filed under the name uncultured bacterium. RNAcentral's name for it is "partial 16S ribosomal RNA". It matches the Rfam family "Bacterial small subunit ribosomal RNA", at positions 29 to 507 of the family's 1533-position model. The record is from RNAcentral.
AUGAACGCUGGCGGCGUGCCUAAUACUUGCAAGUCGAGCGAACAGACGAGGAUCUUGCUCCUCUGACGUUAGCGGCGGACGGGUGAGUAACACGUGGAUAACCUACCUAUAAGACUGGGAUAACUUCGGGAAACCGGAGCUAAUACCGGAUAAUAUAUUGAACCGCAUGGUUCAAUAGUGAAAGACGGUUUUGCUGUCACUUAUAGAUGUAUCCGCGCCGCAUUAGCUAGUUGGUAAGGUAACGGCUUACCAAGGCAACGAUGCGUAGCCGACCUGAGAGGGUGAUCGGCAACACUGGAACUGAGACACGGUCCAGACUCCUACGGGAGGCAGCAGUAGGGAAUCUUCCGCAAUGGGCGAAAGCUUGACGGAGCAACGCCGCGUGAGUGAUGAAGGUCUUCGGAUCGUAAAACUAUGUUAUUAGGGAAGAACAAAUGUGUAAGUAACUAUGCACGUCUUGACGGUACAUAAUCAGAAAGCCACGGCUAACUACGUG